AUGACGAUUAACAAGGCUCAAGGCCAGACGAUUCCGAUUGUUGGCGUGUACCUACCUAAUCCUGUGUUCUCUCAUGGUCAACUCUAUGUCGCACUAUCUCGAGCCACCGCAAAGAGAAACAUAAAGAUCCUCAUUGAGAAGGAGAAGAAGGAGAAUGCCAAGAAGCAAAGCGGUAAACCUAAGAAGCGAAAAAGACCUGCCUUGUCCUUACAAACCUCGAUGAAGAACAUCGUCUAUAAGGAAGUCCUUACAGGCUGA
RNAcentral lists this ribosomal RNA (258 nucleotides) under Triticum aestivum (bread wheat). RNAcentral's name for it is "partial small subunit ribosomal RNA". The record is from RNAcentral. Lineage: Eukaryota; Viridiplantae; Streptophyta; Magnoliopsida; Poales; Poaceae.